Molecule: long non-coding RNA, 2285 nt
Filed under: Homarus americanus (American lobster)
Lineage: Eukaryota; Metazoa; Arthropoda; Malacostraca; Decapoda; Nephropidae
Description: uncharacterized LOC121855602
Source: RNAcentral
UGUUAGUAUGUGUGUGGUGUAUAGACAGUCAGGUAUAACUGUUAGUAUGUGUGUGGUGUAUAGACAGUCAGGUAUAACUGUUAGUAUGUGUGUGGUGUAUAGACAGUCAGGUAUAACUGUUAGUAUGUGUGUGGUGUAUAGACAGUCAGGUAGAUCCUUGCCAGUCUCACUUUUGACAAGGUAAGCAGCUGGUGGCUCGGGUGGCAAGUUUGUGAACCUUUUCCUGCAGCAGUGAGUCAUCCCACUCAGCAUCUUGUGUUGUACUCUCAAAACUUUAGUGUUUCUGUGUGAAAAUGGCCCCUAAAAGACAGCCUAGUGUCAGUGCUAGUGAUGCUAGUGGAGUGAAAUGUAAGAGGCAGAAGUCAGUGAUGACCCUGGCAAAGAAAGUUGAAUUAUUAGAUAAGUUAAAAGAGGGGAUGACUGCUGCCGCUGCUGGUCAGUUGUUUGGUAUAGGUACACAGUAGUGCACUAAGGUAGUAUCAGUUGCUAUUCUCGGUUUUGCCAAUUUGUGCCAUUUCUUGGAACCUAUCCCCCAGUAAUUGCAAGGGUCUACUGUACUGUAAUAUCCUAAGCAUUUAAUAAGCAUACGAGUUUAUGGAAUCAAACUUUUUCACAGUGUCAGUCAAAUGUUAGGAGUUAUGGUAUUUCCUUUAAUUGGUUUACUAUCUUAGGGGUUUUGGGGGUUAUGUCCGUCAGGUUAUUUUGCACUGUGAUGUAGGGACUCCUUGAAUGUGAGAAUAUGUAAACUUGUGGUGCUUGACAUCGCUGUGAUAGCUACCCUUGACUAUACUGCUGCCCUUUUGUGCCAUGUUGUCCAAGAUCAUACUUUGUAACGGUUAGUGACAGUUUAACAGAACCGUGUGGCUCGGAUUUGCCCUUUAAGGGUGCGCUAGCCAUCGUGACUGUCCUCAGGCCUUCUUGUCAAUAAAAACAAGAGUACAGUACAUCUUUAUAUUUAGUACAGUAUUCUUCCUAUAGCUCAUAUACUGUUAACAUAUAUGGCCGAUCAACUCCCCGGGCGUACACGAGCGUGGGUCACCUUUCUCAGUGAGUGAGUGAAGCAGAACCUGUACACCUCUUGAGACACUUGCAAUCUUACUGUACAGUCCCUCACACUUGUGCUAAUACUUGUUAACUUUUAUAAUCAGACUCAUAAAACACAAGUACAGUACAGUAGUAUGAUUACUUAACUGAUUAGUUUGCAGAAAUGUAAACAAUUAUGUGCCAUCAUGUAUUAGUUUGUUCAGAUUUACUAUACUGUACUAUAUUAGACUUUGUUUAGUUCUGGUUUGACUCCUCUCUCUCCAGGAUGUGCUAAAGUAGUUGAGUUUUCAUAGAUAUACCGUAUUGUUUGCAUUUCUUCCAGAAAACAAGAAGUUAUUAAUUUAAUUUUAUACAGAGAUUUAUGAAUGGUUUAUAAUUAGUAAAUUUUUGUGUUUUGGUUUUAAUGGAAGUAUUUCUAUAAGUUUCAUUUUUUCCUUCAGUAUUACAGUAAGUGUUGUGUAUAGUUUUUGAAUGUUGUGAAGAUUAUGAGAAAAAAGUUAGGUUAAAAGGUUAAGUAUUAAAAUGAAGUAGACAAUGUGAGAUUGUUAAUGAUGGUCACACAACAGGUGGAGGAAGAGCAGGUCACACAUUCUCUCUGGAUUUAUGGAAUAAUUAACUUAAAAGCUUAGUUAUGAGGACUAGUAUUUACAUUGAGCAAUAAUAAGUACUUUGGGAGGGGCUCUUUUUGCUAUCAUGUUCUUUAUUAAUAUUUGUAAACUUAUGAAACAAGUUAUUUCUGUGAACAAAAUCUAUACAUAGUACUGUAGCCUUUUUAACUUGUUGGCAGCCUUGUACCUGUAUUGUAUAGAGUACCACCAGCAGUCACCUGUAGGAUGAUGUGUUUAUUUUGUGAGAUAAACUUGAUGGUACAGUACUGUUGCUGGCAUAAUCACCCUCUUUCUCCCAAGUUUAAAGAUGUAAUCAUGAUUGCAAGAGCUUAACUAAACUAUUCAGUGAAUUUUGAUAUGUUAUUUAACAUGGAACUGUCACUUAUUUGUACUGUUUUAUAUGUAAGUGAUGUACUUUAUGGAGAAUAAAUGAGUAAAACAAACUUGUGUUGUCCAACAGCUUCACAAAUCAUCAGAUUAUUGCAACAAUCAUGAUUUAUCAACAGUGAAAGGGGUGCUUAUGCCAAAACAUUACUCAGUCUACAUAUUUUGGGAUAUUUUUUGAUGAUUUGUGAGUUUGUGGCUAACUUUUUGUGCUCUUAACCUAUCACUUGAUUAAAUUACUUGAAGACA